Triticum dicoccoides is the source of this 1390-nucleotide long non-coding RNA. RefSeq lists it as uncharacterized. NCBI's taxonomy places the organism in Eukaryota, Viridiplantae, Streptophyta, Magnoliopsida, Poales, Poaceae. The record is from RefSeq and is a predicted model, not a curated record. The transcript has 3 exons.
CUCCCCCGGGCGCCCACGGAAACCAGCGCCGGCUCCACCCACCUUCCCCGCCGCCAUAAAAACUGGCCAGCGUCGCCGCGCCACACUGGCCCCUCUCCACCCCGAUGUGGAUGCCUCCCCACCAGCUCCCUCCCCAUCAACUCCCUGCUAGCCACCUCCCCGUGCCCCACUUCCCUCCCCGCACCGCCCCACCUCCCUCCCCACCUUCUCCAGCGCGGCGCGCCCCUACCCUUCUCACCUUCUCCGGCAGCGCCGCCCACAACCACCUCCGACAGCGUCCCACAAGAACCACCUCUCUACGCCGGUCGUCGCCCUCCUCUUUCUCAAGCGCCAUCCAGCCGGUCAUGGCGGGAUCCGGCCGCCCACGGUCGCCGACGCGGCCUUAGCCACCAGAUCCGGCUGCCCUCGGCCGCCGGUGUGGCCUUAGCCUCCCUCGGCCGAAUCCAUCGGCUGCCGAAUCCAGCGCCGGCAAGCGGAUGGGCCGCCACCCCUGCAACACCGUAGAGAGAUCCGGUGGGUUGCCUCCGCGCCCACUUCUCCUCCGCCUCCCUCUCGAGAAAACUCCUCUUCCCACGGAUCCAUCAGCCACCGAAUCCCGCGCCAACUGGCUGCUGCGGCCCCACGCCACCAGAUCCUGUCAAGGGGUUGCUCCGUCGGGCUUCUACCGACGAGAUGGCGGCAGGAGGUCACCUCCUCCGUGCAGUGCACACCGAUGCACAUGCAGUUCAUCAACAGAGCGCGCAAACCCCCCACACCGUUUCCAUGAACACGCUGUUGUCUGCCAUUCCAGGUUCACUGCCAUAGCAGUUUGGUGUGUGUGCCAAACAAGUCUUGCAAUUCCAUUACACUCUCCUCUGGUAGGAGCCUGCCCAGCCUCUGCUUCAUCCACUUGUAGUUAAAACUGAAUUGCCACAAAGCCAAGGAGGAGAGUGGUGUGGGAUCCAUUCUUUCCGCUCUGGCGAGGCCUCCAACGAGCGCCUCGCCACCAGAACAAACUCUCUCAAUGGCGAGGUCGCUAGGCAAAUGUUCAGUAUUGUGUGCGUAGUUCUGCUUGUUUGAAGAGCCAACGGUUUGUGUACUAUAAAGCAGUUUGUACGUGUGGUUCAGUUUAAGUGAUGUGAGCAUCUAGUUCAUUAUUACUAUCUUGCGGUUUAGAUGCACUUUUUUUUUGUUUUAGGUUGUGUUCUGUGAUUGCAUGGUUGUGUUUAUAUGUUUACUUCUUUUUAGAUGUUGUUCACUUGGUAAAAAAGAAAGCAAAAACAUCUCAAAAGAAGCUCACUUCUUGUUAGAUGUCGCUCACUCUUCUUAUUAUUAGAUGUAGUACACACCAUUUAUGUAGCAGCUCAUUACCCCUUUGUAUGAAGCGCAAUUUGUUUCGUGUGUCUCAAAA